RNAcentral lists this long non-coding RNA (209 nucleotides) under Phoenix dactylifera (date palm). RNAcentral describes it as "long non-coding RNA (PDAC_LNC016007)". The record is from RNAcentral. Lineage: Eukaryota; Viridiplantae; Streptophyta; Magnoliopsida; Arecales; Arecaceae.
AACCGAUCAGCCUUCCUAGGCGUAGGAACCUAGUCUCUAUGACUUAGGUCAUGCCUAACAACAAUAAUGCCGCGAAGCAUGACACCAAAAAAUACCACGAAGGAGAGAGAGAAGGAAACAGGGGAAGAGAACUUUAUUGAAUAACCACUCGACUGAUUAAAAUAGGCUCUCCUGGUCUCUCGAGCUCUACCCGAUACCAAUCCCUCUCU